Molecule: long non-coding RNA, 969 nt
Filed under: Gossypium raimondii (Peruvian cotton)
Lineage: Eukaryota; Viridiplantae; Streptophyta; Magnoliopsida; Malvales; Malvaceae
Description: long non-coding RNA (GRAI_LNC003292)
Source: RNAcentral
CCUGUUCAUUGAUAUCCAUUUAUCUGAUUAUUAAAUUAACAACAAUUAGAUACUUACAAUCAACUAAAUCUUAAACAAGAAUAAAAUAUUUUAUCAUUUAAGAAAGUAUUCAAAGGUGAUAACAUUAAUUAAUCCAAGUCAUUGAAAUCAAUCAAUCAAUUUAUCUCCCUUUCAAUGGUAGUUUCCUAGAUCCUUUCUCCCCCUUAAAAACAACACCAUAUUCUAAAAGUAGCAAUUCAUGACUAUCUAUAUUAUUGUAGGGCUAAAUUCAUACCAUUUUUCACAUACAAAUAUCAUCUGAUACAGCUUAUUGUCUUUGUCACAAACACUUCAGAGCAAAUUAGCAUAAAGUUACAUAGCAACAUUACAGACAUAUAUAGCUUGAUAUGGCUCACUGAAUCAAGUAAACUACUCUUGGAACAAGCAACAUUAAGCAAGACUUUGUUCAUCUUCAACAUUCUUAUUUCCUCUUCUUUCUUGGAUGCGGUUUCAAUCUCCUUAGUAAUCAUAAAUCUUGUUCUCACCCUCUUGGGUUGGGUAGUGCCAGAGGUAGUGGGCACUCCCUUUAUCACAAUAUUUUAUCAAAGACAAUUAAAUAUAUAUAUAAAUAUCUAAAUCUAUUAUAUAUACUCUUUAGAUUUAAAUUUGAAUUAUCUAUAUAAGCAUAAAUAACAAUAUAGAGCAAUGGAAAAGAUCAAAUAUGAAUAUCUCUAACCAUUAUUUGAACCAAAUGUCCAAAUCCAAAUAUUGUGACACCACUGACAACAUGUCUUCUAAGCGCUCAAAAACCUCACUAGAUGGAAUGUUUUUGCUUCUUUCUUUCUUUCUUUUUUCUUUUUGAUGUUUAGGGACCUUAAGCUUUGGUAUUUAUAGUGGUGGUUCCCCAUUAAAAACCACUAACUUCAUGUCCUACUCUCACACAAACAAAGGUGUGAAAGUAGUGGAGAACAAAAUGUAGGCACGUGAGAG